UUUUCGUUCAAGAUUAAGAAAGAAACAAAAGCAGCCUUCCAUUUCAUUCCAAAAGAAGGAAAUAAAAUCAUGGAGAUACUAGUAACUAUAGUUAUCAAAAGAGAAGUUUCAAUAGGAGCAGGAGCUGGGUUAACUGAAGAGAGAGAGAGCUUUGAUUUUUAGACAACCAAAUCAGGUAUAAUUGAUGCUAUAUAUAUAAUUGUUAUUAAAUAAGGAGUUUAGUAUGUAUAAUCGUUGCUAUGAUACUCUGUUUGGUUGGAAAAUUGUGUAUAAGAAUGAAAAAUUCUGGCUAAACUUUGCUUAAACAAUUUUGAAAUCUGAAGUUUUAAAUUUACGCCUUUAUGUUGUUUGAUAAAAUGCCUCAUAGAGGCUAAAGUGUUUACAACUAAUAAUUUACAAAUGCUUGAAACCAAGUUAUGUGCAUAUAUGUAUUAGAAGAUAACUCACAUGAAGGUUUAAUUUGAUUAUCCAGACUGCGUUUCAUAUUACCAAGGUCUCUAGUGAGUAUUUUAUCAAGGUCAGUGGGUGAAAACCCAUAUGAAUUGAGGUAAUCAAAUUUGGGUUUACGUGUGUUGUCUGGAUGGAAAGAUCUGUACUGGGCUAUUUCUUUCUUCUUUUUUUUUUUUUGCUAAAUUUAAACUGUAUUGAAAGAAAGGAAAUUACAAAAAUCAUGGGUAACCCCAAUCAGAGAAUAGCAUAGACAUCAUACGACAAGCCAUAUAAAGUCAUGACUAUAGAAUACCGCAGGCUGAAAGCCUAACAACACUAACAAUUUUACUGUUAGUACAAACCAUAACCAAAACAUACAAUUGCUUAAACAAGCUGACCAUUACAGACCCAAAGAAAACUAGUAUCUUUAACAAAGUCUAAACAGCCACCCGAUUGCAUCAAAGAAGCCACUCUUCGGCAGAAAUGACCAACCUCAUUUAUACAGCUUCAUGACAUAGAUAAAAUCGAGCAGCAGCAGAGGGCAUUCUAUAGAUCCCCAGGCACCCAUCCAGAUCAGACAACAACUUCCCUACCAAAUAGCAUUAAGAGGAUCCACUGUUUCUCUCCCCUAUGGCCCCAAAUAUAGCUGCAACCGCAAAACUCAGCAUCCACUGUCUGUCUAUAGUCCUUUCUAGCCCACAGAGGAGCAUCAGCCGAGUAGAUUUAGCUACAGCUGCUCGAAAUCUCCAUUCUGUAGCAGCCAUCAGAAUCAUUUUAUAGCAGUGGCAGUAGGAUACCAGAGAACCCAAGAAUGGCCACGGCCUAGCAGGUCUGUAGCAGCAGAAGAUGGCCCCGACCCACAGCUGCUCGUCCUGUAGCAUCAGUAGUAGCAUCAGCAGACAAUUCCGAGCAGCACAACCACAUCAUUAGCAACACAACAAAACGGCACUAUGAGGUACCGAGCAUCUGCAUCUGCAGCGCAUGCGCAAUAGCAUUCAGAACUAGCAGCAAAACCCUGGAUUGGGCCCUGACGCAAUGGUUAGUAGCAUCAUUAGCAAUUCCGAUUGGGCCCUCCCAAGUUCUAACCAUCACUCGGUUAUUGAAUUCAGACAUCUCUUCUCUCCGGCCAUAGGCUGCAACCCCUCCAUAGAGGACUCGGUUCUAUGGGACAACACUAAUACCGUUGGGAAAGCAACUUCCUUCUUUUGGGGUUCCAUCCGAUCCUAUGGUAAUCUAGUGACAUGGGAUAAUCUGGUGUGGCACAAAUACCUCCCUCCUCGAUAUUAUUUCUUCUUAUGGCUUGCAUUCCAGAACGGGUUACGUACCAAGGAUCGGCUCUCAAAUUAUGGGCUCGUUGUAAACCAAACAUGCCUUUUAUGUAACUCCCACAAUGAGACUUUCGACCAUCUUUUCUUCAACUGCCCUUUCUCCUACAACAUGCUCUUUUCUGUUCUCAGGAACUGUGGGUGGAAGGGAUCCUCAAGGAGUUGGAACCCUAUCACUUCUUUCCUCAUUGCCCAACCAAACAGCUCCGUUCAACAAGGUAUUCUUCUCCUAGGUUUUGCCACGGUUGCUUACCAUAUUUGGCAGGAAAGAAACGCUAGGAUACAUGAUAAAGGUCCCAUGCCGGUUAGGACUGUCACCCGUAAUGUUAUGCAGAUUUUGAAAUGCAAGCUCCACUCCAUUCGUAGAUUCCAAAAAGUGAAAGACAGUCCAUGGUUUUCUAAUCUAGCCCUCUAGAGACCUGUCUAUUUCAGGUUUGCCACUGUCGCUGAGCUGAUGGGCUAUUUCUUAAAUUUGGGUUUCAAUGAAGCCAUAGAUUUUGAAGAGAGAGAAAAUAGAUUCAUUUUGUGUCUCAGUAAUUUCAUAUCUGAAAAAUAUUUUUGAUUUAAAGGACAUAAUUGGGGUGAUUUUAAAGAACUAAUAGUAGUUUUUUUAGCAAAAUCUUUUGUAUAAAAAACUAAGCAUCAUGAUUUAACAAAAGGGGUUGUAUGAGAUUUCAGAAAUUACCAACCUUUUAAGUUCCUUUUGAAUCUCUGAGUCUCUAUAGAACGAACGAACUGAACAUUAGUGAAUUAUUAAAAAAAAUGAGAAUAUACACAUACAACAUUUCGUUUUUGGAAAACAUAGAAGGAUUGUUUUUGAUGUUGGAUUUUUAGAGCUAAGUAUUUUGUGGGCUAUAUAUGACCACUAUCAUGAUGUUUCUCUUUUCUAUUUAAAAAUCAUACGGAGGCAUUUGGUGCACGUGAGAACUUGUGAAAACUUAGUAAACAAGAAAAAUCGAGGCAAUAAUGCUAUUCACAGUGGAGGGCCAAAACCAUUUGUUGUUGAGGAUUGUGAUCUUGUGAGAAGAAGCCUAAGAUUUUCAGCAACUUGGAUCUUUUAAUUUCCAGCUGCUUCUUCAUGUUCUUCACCUAUGCAAACAUAAUAAAAUUAAGUGCCAGAAAAAUUAAGCUGUAUUUAGGAUUUUUUACACAAACCAGGGAAACAAGUAUAUAGCUACAUACUCUUUUCCUCAGUUUGCUGUAUUAAAGAGAGCAAUUCGAUAUGCAUUUGAACAACUAAAACGUCGUAUUUUCGAUGUGAACUCUUGCAACAUGCUAAUUCUGCAAGUAACAUUUCUGAUUGCCCUUUCUUUAAACCAAGAACUUAUAACAUAGGCACAAUCAUUUAAAGAAAAUAACAUGUCUUAAAUGCAAUAUUGGUAGGUUUAGCCUUUUUUGCUCUUCUAAAUGUAAAAGAUGUUGGAAUCCAUGGAAGACAGUGGAAUACUUGCACAAAAUUUUAAAGUAGUCUCAGAUGACAUAGAAAAAUUCACUUCUUCACAACGAAAUUCAUCUGCUGGCUUUCUUUUGGAAGCUUCUUUCUUCUUGUGUGUUGUAGGCCUUCGGUAAUUCUUUUCUCUUUCAUUAGAAACCCUGAAAGAACCUUACAUUUCUUUUUAUCAAUUUUCUCUAUAAAGGCUCCCCUCUUCCUAUUGCCCAUCAACGCCUAAUCAAGUUCAGUAUCUUUUCUUCAAAUUCGUAACUUAGUAUUUUUUUUUGUUCUUUUCUCACUGCCCUUCAUUAUUGGAGGCUUGUGUUUAGAUUUUAAAUCACUUUUCCUGCCUGAAUUGUUCACUUUGGUGAUUCUUCUCACUAAAUCUACUGAUGCAACAUAAAAUUUAAAGUUUGAAAUGCAAUAGAUGGAAAUGUUAUAUCUGAGCAGACCUUGCCUGAAUUAGUUGGCUUUAUAACCAAAGCACAUGCAUAUUGUGUGCUCUUUUUAGAUUUCUUCACAUUAAGGUCAUUCUUCCCAUUUGCCUUUGCAGCAUGCAUAAGGAUCCCAGUAGGUUGACAACCUCUCCUCUUCUUACAUUACCCAAUAAUAUACUCCUCAAAAACAUCAAAAAUUACUAAAUUAAGAAAUUCUUGAAAUAGGUCUUCUCUGAUUUAAAACAAACAAACACUUACCUGCAAUCUACUUCCUUUGUUGUAAUCAGGGUUAGUUGGGAGUUCUGUUUUCCCUUUGUUCAUAUUAGCAUGUUUUAAUUUCUUAUCAUUUGUUGCUAUAUUUUUCAUUGGUGUUGAAUGGAUGAAAAUAUGAUACCAUCUCUUUUCAUCUCUGAUCACGAUAGGAGUAAUUCAAUAUGUUGUGUUGUGGGGUUUCUUUGCUUUUGUUUGGGGUUUUGCGAAGGAUCUAUCAAUUUUGGUCUCCUGACCCGGUCAAAACAUAUGGGGCCUUUUUCGGCUGUUUAGUUCUUAAUUUGGGGAUUUGCUCCCUACUAAUUUUCGAAGCUUUAUUUUUUUAUUCCCUCUAUUAAAUCAGUUUGGGUGUGUUUUGAUUCAUUUAUUCAAAUGGUUUUUGAUUUAGUUCAAUUGGAUUUAUCUGUGUUCCGGUGUAAUAGCCGGUGUUUAUUUUUAGAAAUCAUAUUUAUCAUUGUUGAGUUCAGGAUCUGAUUUGAUUUUCAGGGAGAUCCAAUUGAAGGUUAGAAAAUCACACAUCAGAAAAAGCGAACAAACGAGUGGGUACAACCUGAAAAUGAAUCUACAUACGUAAGUUAUACAAACCUUACUUUGUUAACCACCAGCAUUUAGUGCAGCGGUUAAGGAUUGAUUGGGGGCGAGCCGUAAACCCGGAUGUCCUCAGUUCGAACCCCGCUAGCAACAAGUGUUAAGCCAGAAAUGGUCAUGGUGGCCACGGUACCCCCGGUACAAGUCGGGUAGCAAACCGCUCUGGUAUCGGGCUCGGGGGAUUAGUCGGCCUGCGGAUCGGAAACCCACGGUUAACAAAAAAAAAACCUUACUUUGUUUUUAAAUUUGGGAUUACCUUUGAAUUAUUUGCAUUUGUUGUUAAUUUCACACAAUGAAAUGAAAUCACUUGAGAUUGAAUUCAUCUAUGAGAUGGAAGUAGAAUCUGGAAAUGGUGUACUGAUAAAAGGGAGAUUAUAACUCUAGUGUUGGGCAAGAAGGUAGGGAGAUUACUUGAUUUUGGAUUUUUUCCUUGAGCAGAGAAUUCUUCAUCCAUCGAAAAAGAGAAAAUUGCAUUGGCAGAUUGACAAUCUUGAGAAUAUAAUGAACAAGUUGGUCAACAAUCUAGAUUUUUUUCUAUUGAUUCAAGGUAACACUAGCUUAGGGACAAAAAGAACUGAAAACAACUCUUGAUCAUUAUACAUGGACAUUCAAACUGUUGAACUUUCUUGUGGACACUACAAAAAUUUGGAUAUUCAUGUUAAACUUUAUGUUAGACUUGGAAAAUCAUUAACUUAAAUUACAAUGGAUGAUAUUUGAAUUUUGAUUUUCCUAUUUUGGUUAAAUAUGAUGGAAAGUUAAAAUUUAAUUAAUUUAUUAUCACGGUUGGUGUUUUUCUAUUGUUACAGUCCUUAACUUAUUUGAGGCAAAAUAUUAAUUGGGUAAACAACUCUUUUAAUAUAAUGUUUAAGAAUGAAUCAGGUAUGUUGGAUACAUUGAAGAAGCUCUUUCAGCUUUAUAUCAAGUAGUAAUAUAAUUUUCUUAGUUCCAAAAGUUUUCAUAAUAUCACAAAACGCAUUCCAUGCUUGUUUGAAAUUAUCUCAUUGAUUAGAAUAACAAUACAAUUUAGCUAUAAUUUCAAGCCUAAUUUCACGAAAUAUUAUCCAUCAACAUUUCAAGAUAAUAAAUCUCUAUAACAAGAAUAGAUUCAAGAGUGAGUAUGCCAGCAUCGAAUGUAAGACCCCAACUUUUUAUGAAUAAAGAUUUAAUUUUUUUCUAAAUAUUAUUUUGAAUAAUAAGGUGUUGAUUUGAUAUAAUGCUAUAGUUAUGGGUGAUAUGUGCAAAUUUACAAAGUAAGCAAGUUGUCAUUAAAUAUUCGUUUUGUCGGGGAAUAUUCUUUUUGUCGGGGAAUAUCCGUACAAUGAUGCAAUCAUCGGUGGACAACAUAACAGAAUAACUAUCCGUGGUUGCACAGUAGCAUACGGUAGCACAGUAUCUCUGAUUAUUGAUUCUUAGGUAAGAAGUCACUCAAUAAUUGAUACAGUAAAAAUUGGACAGUCUUUCAUAUUAUUGAUGCAAUAAUUGCUACAAUUAUAAUUAAUUAGUAUUUUACAUUAUUGAUUCAAUAAUUGUCGUGACAUGGUAACUCAUAUUAUUGAAAUGAUAUUAUUAGAUAGCAUUAUUGAUAAUGUCUAGAAAGUUAUGUCGAGGAAAGAGGUUAGGUUAUAUAAUUGCGCGCCAGUAUGGAAGAAUCCUUAUCGGAAAGUCCACUCUUUCCUUGGAAUGAUCUGGUUGUCAGUAUUGUGAAUCUAUAAUAUUAAUUAGAAAUAAUUAUUGAAGAAUUGUAAAUAAUUGAUGAUAUGGUAAGUAAAUAUUUCCUCAAUUUUGUUAUAAAUGGAAGAAUUUUAGAAUGAGACAUUUGUCGAAAGUUUGACAUAUUUUUCUAUAAGACUAUAAUUAUCUUCUCCAAUAAAAUAUUCAUUCAAAUAUAUUAUUAUAAUAUUACAUUAUCAUAGUAUAAUGUGAUAAUAUAAUAGUAAUUUAAAUGGUAAAUAUUAUUAUAUAUUUUUUGGCAUGUGAAUUAAAUUGAGUGAAGAUGAUCAAAUUGAAUUUGAAUUAGUUUUCAAAUUGAAUUUGAAUUCUUUUAUUUCAAAUAAACAUGUGAAUAAAUGUGGGAAUUCUCAUUUUAAGUUUUAACUCUCCUUUUUCAAAUAGGUGUGCUGCAUUUUCAAAACUAAUGUGCAUAUGUGUAAAUUUUGUUAAUUCUAGUGUGCUAGCAUUUUCCUAUAAAUAGGUUGCUUAGGUAAACAAUGAAACUCACACUAGCAUAAAAAAAUUCUCUCUAUAAUAUUGAGUGUAUUUCUUGUGAGUAUAAGGAUAUUUUUAGUGUUGAUAACAGUGCAAGAUUUCCUCAGCAUAAUCUCCGUUAUUCCAGUCAGAACUACUUUUCUACUAAGGUAAAGGAUGUUAUUUUCUUUCAAUACUCGUAAAUGAUAUUAUUUCCUUCCAUACUCGUAAGGGAUAUCAUUUUUAUUCAUACUCCAUGUUAUGUAAGUGACAUUAUUUCAUUUCAUAUUCCUAAAUUUAAACUUACUAUGGUAAGUAUUGCUUCUAACUUACCAAAAAAAAAAAGUAUUGCUUCUAUAAUUCCUGAAAUGAUUAGAAAUUCAUUAAGAUUUGCGCUUCAUCUAAUAUCAUUUCACUGGAAUAUUGGUCUAAAGAUUCUUAUUAUAUUUUAAUCUUUUAAUGUUGGGGUACUAUUCAUGGGUACUAUUCAUAUGGUACUAUUCAUGAGUACUGUUCACAACAAAAUUUAAUUUCUUUUCUGUCCAAAUUAUUUUUGAUACAUGAAUAUCAUUAUUGAAUUUUACUCCACAAUUAGUUAUCAUGUUGACAAUUUGGACUUUCUUGAACUUUGGAUAAAUUAAAUUAUAAAUCUUUAAUAUUUAUCAUUGAUCUCACUUGAUUGAUUCUUUAUAUCAUUGUCAUCAUCCUCAUGCUUAUAUUAUGUUAAAAGUCAUCUUUGGCCCGUAGUGCAAAGAUGGACUGUUGAUUGGUAUGAUUAUGACCAAGAUUUGUGUAUUGGUAUAAUCAUAACUUUUAAUGUUACAGAUAAAAGUUUGUGGUGAAAGUCCUCUUUGGCUCGAAGUGCAUAGAUGGACAGGUGUUUGACAUGAUUAUGACCAUUGGUGAUACAAACGAUUAUCUUUGGCCUGUACUGCAUAGAUAACUCUUUGAUUGGAAAUAAUUAUUGAUUGGUGUUGCAGGGAUAAAAUAUUGAUGAUGAACUUUUAAAUUAUAGAAGAUAGUAUACAUCAUGCUCUACUUGACUCUUCUAAUGGAUUGUUGUUUCCGCUGCAGUUGUUGAUCUAAAACUUGUUGUCUAUUGUAUUCUAUCAGAUUUUUCCCUGUUGAGGACUAAGGAUAAUUUGUUCUACAUUAUCUUAGUCAUAAUAUUCUUUACUUGGCUAGUUGAGCUCACCCUUUUUCUUUUGGUUCCAUUGUUCUUCCCAGGAGGUGAGAAUAUAGCUGGGACUAGUCGGGGAUUGGAGUAAUGGUUCAAGAUGGUUACUAUAGGAGUCCUCACUAUUUUGUAAAAAAGUGUAACAAUAAUUAUAAUGAGGACUUUAUUUGAGUUUGGAUAUUGUCUACAAGAUAAUAUUUGUAUUAAAACUCACAUCUUAUACUGUCAUAUUUUACUUGACAAUUAAUAGUUGUAUAAUUGAAGUUUGUAUUUGAAUUAUGUACCAUGUAUUUGGCGACUCAGAAUGGGUUGUGUGGACCUAUUUUGGGGGCGUCACAGUUGGUAUCAGAGCUUAGGGAUAUGAUCUCUGGUGGAGAUCUGGGAUUAUAACUAGGAGGGGAUAGACGAGUAAAUUCUUCGCUAGUGUGUCCUACCUAAGCUUAUUUGUUAUUUAAUUGGUCGGUCAAAAUAUAUGGAUAAUAUCUGGAAUGUCAAUUUAUUUAAUUAAACUUUGUUUUGUGGCAGUAUUUGUGAAUGACAUAUAAAAUUUUUGAGAUAAGCAAUGGAGCACAUGAGACCGUUGAGACACCGCCAAUCAAUAACCAGGAUAAUGUGCAUCAAGAAGGCAAUAAUCCUCAUGUAAACAACAACACCGACCAAAUGAUGAACGAUGGGAUGUUUAGGAGCUUUCUACAAUUCACGCAACACCAAACGAGACAGACUCAUGUUCAAAAUGUAGGUGGAAACAAUGGCAACUCACAAUUUUUUUUCGCUAAGUUUGUUUGUUUAUAAAAAAGAAAAGGAGAUAUCACAAUCGCACAGGGGCAUACCCCAGAAACACUAGAAUCCAUUAGGGACAGCCCCUUAAAAGGCCUACUAAAGACAGCAACCGGACUAAUAGAUAGAGCAAGGAACAUAUCCGGAUACAAAGCAUAUAAAAUGAGCAGGAAAUCUAAACAACCAUACAACUGAAACCAGCAACAAAUGAUCAAGAAAUAAAGCCAAAAGAAGGUUGCCGAAACUAAGCAUGACCCAUGCACCUAGCCAACCUAGCCCAGCCACAAAGAUGCUACACCACGCCCGGAAGAAACGGAUCACAAUAUCCAGAAAACAAACCGACCGACACCAGACUGCACUUCAUCAGAUUGCAGCCCCCGCAAUGGUCAGACCGACCUGAACUUUCCCCAAACCCUAUAGCAGCAACCAUUAGACUCCGACCACCCAUCCAUCUCUUAACAAGUAAUGGGCUAGCAUGAAACCGAAGCUCUCCCCCCGGAGUUUGCAGUAGCCGAGCAGCUUUACCAGCGGCCUAGAAAGCAGAAUCCAAGCCAAGACCCGACCUAUUACCACCAGACCAGAAUCCAAACAAAGGAGGAGGAUCGCACCAAUAGCAGGCAUCACAUCCAAAUACUGAGGUCAGGUCUACUCUGCGCAGCCUUGAGAAAUUUAGAAGAAGAAGAAAGCCUUGACUUAGUGAUAUUUAUAAUUUCCCUCACCAAAACAUUCAUAGGCAAUUUUGCAUUUUUAUGAACAAUUGAGUUCCUAGCUGCCCAGAGUUUGUAGACUGUGGUGGAAAAGACCAGCUUUAAAAUAUCAGACCGAAUUGUAUUUCCUUUAAAAUGAAUGAUAUAAUCCACUAGACGAUCCCAGCUCCUUGGAGCAUUAGCCCAGGCACCAAAGGCAAGAACAUAAGAGAGAACUGAAGUAGAGUAGGGACAAUCAAAGAACAAAUGAGAGAAGGUCUCAGCAUGAUUUUCACAGAAAAGGCAAUUCUUAGGUCGAAAGCUAUUGUAAGCAGAGAAUCUAUCAUUUGUGGGUAAUCUAUGCCGAAGAGCAAGCCACAGGGGUAAAGGAGAAUUGGGGGAUAUGGAGGGGAUACCAUAGCAAAUUAGCCCAUGGAACUUUCGGAGCACGCAAGCGAAUAGAUUCCCAAAUAGUGGAUGCUUUGACAUGUUUCACCGCCCGGUUGUCCCAAGGAAUCAAGUCCUCAGCAUCAGAAGGAUUAGGAAGGGAUGAGAUCAAGGUACGAAAUUGUUGCACAUCAUGAUGGUUACUGGAAGGCAAAGCCCAAACUCCCAUGGAAAUGAUGUCAGAAAUUCGAGCAUUAACAGGGAUUCUGGAGUUGGAGAGCAGGGAUGAAGAGGGGUUUAAGGGCUGCCCAUUCAACCACGGGUCAAACCAGAGACUGAAAAAAUUUCCAUUCCCAACUCUAUAGGUAAGGAAAGGGAGAGCUAUGGAACGAAGUUUAAGGAUCUUACGCCAAAUCCAUGAACAGUCCAAGGGGUUCGAGAUAUACCAGAAAUUAGUCAUAGAUAGCACUGUAGAUUUGACCCAAUAAGCCCACAAUGAGGGAGAGGAUGGGGAAAUGACCUUGAGAAGUUGGAGAAUAAUGAGAGCUGUGUUCCAGUCAGUAAGGUUUUUUAUCGCGAGACCACCUUCACAAAGGGGAAGGGACAGAUCCCUCCAAGAGACUUUAGUACCAUGCCGAAGGAGAGAAGAACCCUUCCAAAGAAAUCUACACAUGAUAGAUUGGAUGGCUCUUAGAACUGAUUUAGGAAGAAUAAAAUGGGAGGCCCAGAAAGACUGAAUUGCAAAGAGCACUGAUUUAAUCAGCUGAACUCUCACAGUUGGUCACUGAUAAGCAAUUCAAGGAGUUGGGACCACCGUAGUUUUUGGGAAAGCCAGAGCCACUUAAGGCAGAAGCAUGGAUUAAGCAUAUUACCAAGAUAUUUGAUGUCUUGGGAUGCUCAGAGGAGAAAAAGGUUCCCUUUGCCACCUUUAUGUUGCGUAGAGAGGCAGAUUACUGGUGAAAAUCUGUAAAGCGUACUCAUCUUUCCUCACUAACGAUGUCUUGGGAGAAGUUCCAGGAAUUAUUCAACGACAAGUAUUUUUCCAGAAAGUAUUCUUCAUAUGAAGGAGGUGGAAUUCAUCAAGUUGGAACUGAACAAUAUGAUUGUAUCACAAUACAAGACUAAGUUUGCAGAGUUAUCUCGGUUUGCAUCCCAUUUGGUGGAUAAUGAGGAGCGAAUGACACGAAUGUUUUUGAGAGGUUAAAAACCCGAAAUUCGUCAAUAUAUCAUUUCUUAUAAACUUUGUUUGUAUUCAAAUGUUGUGAAUAUGGCUCAAUUGUUGGAGCGAGAUAAUGAGAUAGCUCAACCAAAAGACAACAACCGGCAACAAGAUAAUAGUCGUACCAGUGGCAACAGUCAUCAGAGCAGUGAUAACCAACGUGGAGGAAAUUAUCAUAUCAGAAAUGGUAACCACUUCGGUGGUAAUCCUGGCUAAGAUAAUAGAAGAAAUGAGUCAAGUGGAAAUUUCAAAAAGAGAAGAUUCAACAAUGGCGGAAUGACAUCGGUAGCAGCACCAACACCAUCAACCGUUUCUAGGGAUGAGAACAACUACCAGUUAGAUGAUACAGAUGUGGAGAGGAGGGACAUAUCAGUCCAAACUGUACACUGCCUUCCGAGGUGUGUUUCAGUUAUGGAAAGGACGGUCACAUAGCUCAAUUUUGUCCUGUAGUGAAGUCAUGUCCAGCUGGGACGGUGGCACCAAAGGCGGCUACGGACAAGACAAAGUCGGUGGUUUAGGGGAGAGCUUUUGUCGUGACUUCCCAAAAAGCGAGGAACCCGAACGAAGUUAUCACGGGUAAGCUAAUCAUAAACUCUUGCGAAGUUUAUACCUUAUUAGAUACUGGUUCUAGCCAUUCUUUUAUUUCACCUGCUUGUGCUCAACGUUUGAACUUGACUCCUGAGAAAUUAGACUUUGACUUAUCUGUUGAAACUCCGUUAAGAGAAACCUUCAUUACAUCCACUGUUUAUAAAUCUUGUUUGAUUCAAAUUAGCACCCUCACAUUAUAUGUUGAUCUCAUCUCUUUGAAAAUACUUGUAUUUGAUGUGAUUUUAGGGAUUGAUUGGUUAACUACUCAUCAUGCUAAAAUUGAUUGUUUUCAUAAGGUCGUUAGUUUUCAUAUUCCUAACCAACCUGUUAUGCGAAUUCAAGCAACCAAACCACUAAAGUCAAUCACUGUCAUAUCAAGCCAUAAAGCCAUUCGUUUAUUGAAAAACGGAUGUCACGCUUUCUUAGCUCAUGUCAUGGAUUUAAACACAAAUAUGUCAAAUUUGAAUGAUAUUUCUAUUGUUAAUGAAUUUCCUGACGUAUUUUCUGAAGAACUUCCUGGCCUACCCCCAGAGCGUGAAAUCGAAUUUUAUAUUGACCUUGAACCCGGUACAAAACCCAUUUCCAAAACCCCAUAUCAAAUGGCUCCUAUUGAACUUCAAGAGUUAAAAACCCAACUAUAGGAGCUAUUAGACAUUGGUUUCAUUCGUCCUAGUACAUCUCCUUGGGGUGCUCCUGUUUUGUUCGUAAAGAAGAAAGAUGGGAGUAUGUGAUUUUGCAUUGACUAUCGGGAGUUGAACCAUGUCACCAUAAAAAAUAGAUACCCGUUACCUCGCAUUGAUGACCUGUUUAACCAGUUAUAAGGUGCUAAAUUCUUCUCAAAGAUCGAUCUUUGUUCCGGAUAUCAUCAGUUAAAGAUUAAAACUGAUGACAUUCCAAAGACUGCUUUCAGGAUUCGGUAUGGGCAUUACGAAUUCCUAGUCAUGUCUUUUGGAUUGACUAAUGCUCCUGCUGCCUUCAUGGAUAUGAUGAACCAAGUAUUCAAGAAAUAUUUGGAUCAUUUUGUGGUUGUCUUUAUUGAUGUCAUCCUCAUCUAUUCGAAAAGCCGUGAAGAUCAUGAAUAACACUUGAGGCUGAUACUCCAAAAGCUUCGUCAAAAUAAGUUAUACGCCAAGUUGAAGAAAUGCGAGUUCUGGCUUGAGGAAGUAGCCUUCCUUGGGCACGUAAUAUCGAAACAUGAUAUAUCAGUUGAUCUGGCAAAGAUUGAAUAAAUAUACAAAGUUGGGAGCAACCUAAGUCAGUAACCGAAGUACAUAGUUUUCUGGGCUUAGCUGGUUAUUAUCGGAGAUUCGUGGAAGGAUUUUCUCGAAUCGCUUCUCCAUUAACUUAGUUGGCUCAAAAAGAUACAACAUUCGAAUGGAGCGAGGAAUGUGAGAAGAGCUUCCAAGAACUCAAGAGGAGACUCAUUUUAGCAGCUAUUCUGAUAAUACCAUCAGGUUCAGAGGGAUUUGUCAUCUAUAACGAUUCUUCAGGUAGAGGUUUAGGAUGUGUUCUCAUGCAACAUGGGAAAGUCAUAGCCUAUGCCUCACGACAACUCAAAGAAUAUGAGAGGAAUUAUCCUACUCAUGAUCUAGAGUUGGCAGCAGUCAUUUUCGCGCUAAAGAUUUGGAGACACUACUUAUAUGGGGAGAAAGAUGUAAUCACGGUUAGGGUCCCAUGUUUUUGAGAGCUCCUAUUGGCUUUUGGAUCUCCUUGGAUUUAUGGCUCCUUGUUGUUUCCUUGGGCUGUUCAGUUUUGGCUAAAUGUUUCAGUAUUGGUUGUAAGUUAUUGCAAUUGUUUAGUCAUAGUCUCCUGUAAUAGGGUUGUUGAUUUCUCUUGUUCCUUUUGUUUUUUCUUGUUUGGCUUGGUUUGGUAUGGUUGUUUUAGCUUGCCUUUUUUUAGUCGUGACAUCAUAGGGCAUGUCCUGUGAUGUCUAUGCUAUAUUCUAUUGGGGUCCCCAAUGUCCCUUGUAUCUUUUUUCCAUCUAUAUAGUUUUAAAAUUUAGCAAAAAAAGAAAGUGGAGAUCUAUACAGAUUAUAAAAGCCUCAAAUAUUUCUUCACCAAAAAGGAACUUAACAUGCGGCAACGACGUUGACUCGAGCUAUUGAAAGAUUACGACCAUACCAUUCAAUACCAUCUUGGAAAAUCAAACGUGGUAGCUGACGCGUUGAGUAGAAGAUCGUAUGCGAGUACGAGUGUGAUGGUGUUAACACAAAAACUCACUUUGUAUGACUUACAAAAAAUGGAGAUAGAGCUAAAAACUCUAGGGACCCACGUGAAGACGGCAAAUAUACGAGUAGAACCGACUUUAAUCGAUAAAGUUAAAGCUGCUCAAGCUACAGACCCAGAGAUGAUGAGUAUGAAGAAGAAAGUACAAGAAGGUGCUAUUCCAGAAAUAAGAAUCGACGAAAAAGGAAUAUUUCGAGUCAACUCCAGACUUUGUGUUCCUGACGACUCUGAUUUGAAGUAUAAAAUCAUGAUGGAGGCACACAACACACUGUUUGCAAUCCAUCCUGGAAGUACCAAAAUGUAUCGUGAUCUUCGGCAUACAUUUUGGUGGAGCAAUAUGAAGAGAGAGAUCGUGAAGUUAUCUCAAGGUGUUUAACUUGUCAACGUGUCAAGGCGGAGCAUCAAGUACCAAAAGGUCCAUUGCAACCACUUGAAAUUUCAGAAUGGAAGUGGGAGCACAUCAACAUGGAUUUCGCUACUGGUCUUUCCAAGGUUUCUCAAGGCAUAGAUGUAAUUUGGGUCAUUGUCGAUAUAUUAACCAAGUCUGCUCAUUUCUUGCCUAUACGAGAAACUUAUUUACUUGAACGUCUUGCUCGUAUGUACAUAGAUGAGAUUGUGAGAUUACAUGGUGUACCAGUAUCCAUAGUUUCUGAUCGAGACCCAAGAUUCACUUCACGAUUUUGGGUCAGCUUGCAUAAAGCUAUGGGCACUGAUUUACGAUUUAGGUCUGUAUAUCAUCCCCAUACGGACAGACAAUCAGAAAGGACUAUUCAAACUCUUGAAGAUCUAUUGAGACUCUGCGUAUGAUAAGUAGGUUUUAUACCUACUUAUCCGGUAUCUGUUACUUGAAUUAUUUGCUUAAUCUCAUGUUUCUUAGUUACUUUUCAUGCAUUUUGUGUUCGUUUUGUAGAUUAUAUGCUUGGGAGUUGAAAUCGCAAAGAUUUGGUAUGAAAACGCAAAUAAAAGCAAUCCGGACAUCGGUUGGGCUUUUAUGUUUAUUUCAUGUUUCUUGGUUUGGAACUUGGAUUACAUUGUAGAGCUUCUUCUUAGCUUUCUAGAACAUUUUGAAUCAUUCCAAUUGGAGUUCGGAUGCAAGAGUUAUGACAUGUGUACCAACGGACGUCGAACGUCACUGUUUUGGGUGGUCAUUUGCAUAGCAGUCACUUCCAGCCCACUUUCGACCUUUAUCCGUCCGUUAUUUCUAAAAUUUUAAAGUAUGAAAGUUGUAGAUCUCGUCGAUAUCUUCGAUUUGAUAGGUGGCAGGCCUCGUAACUCUUCCCGGAUCAAAAGUUAUGGCCGUUUUCCCAAAGGACGUCAGAGCAAAAAAUUUUCUUUCACAAAACCGCUGCCGGGGUGGGCAUGCGAGUCACAAAGCAGGCCCCUAGCCCGCCGGGGCGGGCCCAAAUCAAGCAUAAACCCCCGCCGGGGUGGGGGUAGCCCAGAAAAUGCGCGAAAAGUGCGAAUUUUGAUCCAAUUUGAGUCUGGGAAGGAUUGUUUCGAUCCGAUUGACACAAGGACUUCCAAGAGAAUUUCCAAGAGGACUUAAAGACAUAUGAAGAGACUUAUAAAAGGAGGAGAAUUACAAGGAUUAGGGGAGAUUAGAGACUAGAUAGAGGAUUCAAUUAGAUUAGAUUAGGGUAAAUUAGAUAAAAACACUAGUUCUUAUUAGAUUUGGAGAAUGAAGCAACUUGGAGACCAUUGAAGAAUCAAAGUAGGAGCAAGGAGGGGGCAUCAAAUCUACAGACAAUAGAUUCUAUCUUCUCAUCUUCUUCUAUCUCUGUCUUUUAUUGUUAUUUCAAUUGUGGAUUCUUAGUUUUAAUUCAAUAAUCAUGAACUAAUUCUUUGUUUGAGAUUACAAUAGAUCUUAUUGUGUAGUUUAUUUUAAUAUGUUUCGCUAUCAAUUAUUAUGUUCUAUUGUGAGGAUUGUCUAUUGUGAUUUGGACUUAAUUGUUUGAUUGAUUGACCAUCAAUUACCGUGAUAAUCUAUAUGAACUCGAGAGAUGAAGUAUUGAUUUAGAUCUUAUCAUGAUAGCAUGUGUCAUGAAUUUUGUCAAUAGCAGAUUUUUGAUUAUUGUUAAGGUAGAGAUACGCUUGACAUCGCAUGUAAUCGGAUAGAGAACUUAUUCUUCAACCUUCUUCAAUUGUAAUUCACAUAGAGAUAUAGUGGGUUAGUUGAUUAAGGUGUUUAACNNNNNNNNNNNNNNNNNNNNNNNNNNNNNNNNNNNNNNNNNNNNNNNNNNNNNNNNNNNNNNNNNNNNNNNNNNNNNNNNNNNNNNNNNNNNNNNNNNNNGUGAUCUUAAAUCUCCGUUAUCUUAAUUUAACUAGUGGAAUUUAAUAGUAGUUUAAUUUAUAUAAUUUGAAAUUCAUUCGUUUAAAUAAGAUUGAGUUGGUUACGGGUUAGUACUUGGUGAUUUUUGUUAAAUAAUUCUCUGUGGGAACGAUACUUUACUCUUCACUUUAUUACUUGUUGACCACGUAUACUUGCGUGUUGUGCGUAAUUAGAUUUUACCCAACAGCGUACUAGACUUCAUAGGAAGUUGGGACAAGUACUUGCCAUUAGUGGAAUUCUCCUACAACAAUAGUUAUCAACCGAGUAUAGGCAUGGCUCCAUUCGAGGCGUUGUAUGGACAAAAGUGUCGUUCUCUAGUAUGCUGGAAUGAGGUGGGUGAAGCAACGUUGUUGGGACAAGAAAUGGUAUGCAUGACUACGGAAAAGAUUCAAAUGAUCCGGCAACGUAUACAAACCUCACAAGACCGACAAAAGAGUUAUGCUGAUCUUCAUCGUAGGGACGUGUAAUUUAAUGUCGGAGGCCAUGUAAUUUUACAUGUUGCUCCAUAGAAAGGAGUUACGAGAUUUAGAAAGAGAGGAAAACUCAACCCUCGAUUUAUUGGUCCAUUUGAAAUCCUCGACCGAGUAUGUGUAUAAACUCGCCUUAUGUAAGACCCCAACUUUAUAUUAAUAAAAUUGAAUUUCCUCUAAUUAUUAUUGUGAAUAAUAAGGUGUUAAUUUGAUAUAAUACUUUGGUUAUGGGUGAAAUGUGCAAAUUUUGCAAAAUAAGCUAGUGGUUAUAAAAUAUUCAUUAUUGUCGGGGAAUAUUCGUUUAGUCGUGGAAUAUUCUUGCUAUCGGGGAAUAUUCGUACGAUGGAGCAGCCAUUUGUGGGCCCCAUAAUGGAAAACGGUCGGAUGAAGAAAAUGACAAGUUUGAGUUUUUUUAAAUAACGACUUAUAAUUGUUACUGUUAACACUGUUGGAAUAUCCGGUGGUUAAAAUACAGUAAUACGCGUGGUUGCACAGUAACACACGGUAUUGGACAGUAUUUUUUGGAUUAUUGAUUCUUACGGAAGGCACUACUCAAUAAUUGUUACAGUAAUUACUGUCCAAUAUUUUAUUUUAUUGAUUCAAUAAUUGCUACGUUGAUAUUUUAUAUUAUUGUUGUUUCAAUAAUUGUCAAUGCACAGUAUUUUCCAUUAUCAGAUCAAUAAUUCAUAUUAUUUGAAUAAUAUUAUUAGAUAGCAUUAUUGACAAUGUCUAAGGAAGUGCAGUCUAGGAAACGGGGUUUGGUCACCUAAUUGCACGCCAGUAAGGAGAAAUCCUUAUCGGAAAGCCCCCUCUUUCUUGGGAACGAACUGGUUGUCAUUAUUGUGAUUCUGUAAUAUUAUUUGUGAAUAAUUAAUUAUUGAUUUAUAUGAUAAGGAAAUAUUUAUUUUUAUUUGGAUAUAAAUGAAGGAAUUAAUGUUGAGGUGCUUUAUCAGUAUUUUGUCGGAAUUGAGGUAUUAAAAAUCAUCAGUAUGUGGAUUUCGGUCAUUUUUCGUAUGGAAUUUGAAAAAACGUUCUUCUACAAAGUUGUAGAGAAUUAAAUUUCAUGUAGAAUGGACAUAAAAUUUGCAUUUUUCUGAUAAAAGGGCUAUUUAUUAUGAAUUAUUGAAGUUUCUGAUUAUUAUUUAAAUUUAAAACAUUUUGGUGGGAUUUUCUAAAAGGGUGGGCCCCACUCUUGUCCUUGUAGAGUGCUGAGAAAUUUCAAAGUUUGAUUUCCAAGUAUGGCAUGCGUGAGAAUUUGUAAUAAAAUAUUAAUUUAUUAAAUUUUAGUCUGCUUUGGCGUUCUGCCAUUUUCCUAUAAAUAGAGUGUUUAGUUAGAAUUGAAAAUCACACCAGAAUCAGAAGUUUUCUCUCUAUAUAAUAUCAAGCGUAUUUUUGUGAGUAUUUAGUUACUUUGAGAGUUGCUAUUCAGUGCAAGUUCCUUCAGCAUUAUAUCCGAUAUUUCAGCCAGACAUAUUAUUCUUUUGAGGUAAGGGAUGUUAUUUUCUUAGUAAAUAAUGUUAUUUCGUUCAAUAUCAUUAUGCUGAAAUAUUGGUAUGAAUUUUAUUAUGAAAUUUUUACCUUUUUAUGUCGAGGUUACUAUUCAUGUAUACGGUACUAUUCACAUAUACGACACUAUUAAUGAAUACGGUACUAUUCACAAGUACUAUUCACGAAAUAUGAUUUUUCGUGUGAAAUUUCUACCUUUUCGUGUCAGAGAUACUAUUCACGUAUAUGACACUAUUCACGUAUACGACACUAUUCACAAAUACGGCACUAUUCACAGAAAAAUGAAUUUUUAUCUUCUUUGUCCAAGAUGUCUAUUAUGGUUACUAUCUUUGAUUGUAUCUAUGUUUUGAUCUUCAUUCUUGAAUUUUACUCCACUAUGGUUUAUUACGGAGUAUUUUUGAACAUGGAUUAUCUAAAGUACGAAUCCCUAAUCUUUGUCCUUUUAUCUAACUGGAUUCGUUUCUUUAAAAUAUUUUUCAUCAUAUUCAGUCCUAAAUGAUGAUAUAACUGAAUAUCUUUGGCCUGUAGUGCAAAGAUGAAUGAUUAUCUGAUGAAUAUCUUUGGCCCGUAGUGCAAAGAUGAACAGGUGUUGAGAUGAACAUGACCAACUGGUGAUACGAAUGACUAUCUUUGGCCCGUAGUGCAAAGAGGAAUAUUUGAUUCAAGAUGUGUAUUGAUUGAUGUUACAUGGAUAAAAUAUUGAUGAUGGACUUUUAAAUUAUAGAACAUAGUAGAUUUUAUUCUCUACUUAACUCUUCUAAUGAAUUGUUAUUUCCGCUGCGAAUAUUGAUCUAAAAUGUGUUGUCCAUUAUAUUUUAUCUGAUUUAUUGAAGGCUAACGAUAAUUUAUUGUACAUUACCUUAGUCAUAAUAUUCUUUAUUGGGCUAGUUGAGCUCACCCUUUUCGUUUUUGUUCCAUUUUUCUUCUCAGGAGGCGAGAAUAUAGCGGGAACUAGUCGGGGUGUGGAGUGAUGUUCUAAGUCAGUUGUUUUAGCGGUCCUCACUAUUUUUGUAAAAUAGUGUAUCAAUAAUUGUAAUGAGGACUUAUUUGAGUUUGAAUACUGUCUAAAAGACAAUAUUUGUAUCUAAACUCACAGCAUAUGUGUUGUCGUAUUUUGCACGAUAAUUGUAAUAAUGAAGUUGUAGUUGUUUUCUGUACCAUGUAUUUGGCGACUCAAAAUGGGUUGUGUGGACCUAUUUUGGGAGCGUCACACCUUACCA
Molecule: long non-coding RNA, 19250 nt
Filed under: Panax ginseng (ginseng)
Lineage: Eukaryota; Viridiplantae; Streptophyta; Magnoliopsida; Apiales; Araliaceae
Description: long non-coding RNA (PGIN_LNC011291)
Source: RNAcentral